GACGAACGCUGGCGGCGUGCUUAACACAUGCAAGUCGAACGAUGAAGAAGAGAAACGCGAACUUCGGUUCAAAUUUCACUUCGGAUUAGUGGCAGACGGGUGAGUAACGCGUGAGCAACCUACCUCUUACAAAGGGAUAGCCUCGGGAAACCGUGAUUAAUACCAUAUGACACAUUCAUAAGGCAUCUUAAGAAUGUUAAAGCUACGGCGGUAAGAGAUGGGCUCGCGUCCCAUUAGCUAGUUGGUGAGGUAACGGCCCACCAAGGCGACGAUUGGUAACCGGCCUGAGAGGGUGAACGGUCACAUUGGAACUGAGACACGGUCCAAACUCCUACGGGAGGCAGCAGUGGGGAAUAUUGCACAAUGGAGGGAACUCUGAUGCAGCGACGCCGCGUGAGCGAUGAAGGAAUUCGUUUCGUAAAGCUCUGUUCUAUGGGAAGAAAAGGACUGUACCAUAGGAGAAAGCCCCGGCUAAAUACGUG
RNAcentral lists this ribosomal RNA (482 nucleotides) under uncultured bacterium. RNAcentral describes it as "partial 16S ribosomal RNA". It matches the Rfam family "Bacterial small subunit ribosomal RNA", at positions 28 to 507 of the family's 1533-position model. The record is from RNAcentral.